AGGGGGCGAGCGUUGUCCGGAAUUAUUGGGCGUAAAGGGCGCGUAGACGGCCGAGUAAGUUAUAGGUGAAAGCCCAUCUUUCAAGGAUGGAAUUGCCUGUAAUACUGCCUGGCUUGAGUGCAGGAGAGGGAAGCGGAAUUCCUAGUGUAGCGGUGAAAUGCGUAGAUAUUAGGAGGAACACCAGUGGCGAAGGCGGCUUUCUGGACUGUAACUGACGUUGAGGCGCGAAAGCGUGGGGAGCAA
Molecule: ribosomal RNA, 243 nt
Filed under: uncultured bacterium
Lineage: Bacteria
Description: partial 16S ribosomal RNA
Rfam family: Bacterial small subunit ribosomal RNA
Source: RNAcentral